Molecule: ribosomal RNA, 773 nt
Filed under: uncultured Neocallimastigales
Lineage: Eukaryota; Fungi; Neocallimastigomycota; Neocallimastigomycetes; Neocallimastigales
Description: partial large subunit ribosomal RNA
Rfam family: Eukaryotic large subunit ribosomal RNA
Source: RNAcentral
CGCAUCUGUGCAUGCAGCAUAUCAAUAAGCGGAGGAAAAGAAACUAACAAGGAUUCCCCUAGUAACGGCGAGUGAAGCGGGAAGAGCUCAAAUUUGAAAUCUUAAAGGGUUUCCCUUUACGAAUUGUAGUUUAAAGAAGUGUUUUCUGUUGAGGUUUUGGUAAAAGUUCUUUGGAAUAGGACAUCAUAGAGGGUGAGAAUCCCGUAUUUGACCUUUACUUUCAACUUUGUGAUACACUUUCAAAGAGUCGGAUUGUUUGGGAAUGCAGUCCAAAAUGGGUGGUAAAUUUCAUCUAAAGCUAAAUAUUGGCGAGAGACCGAUAGCGAACAAGUACCGUGAGGGAAAGAUGAAAAGAACUUUGAAAAGAGAGUUAAACAGUACGUGAAAUUGUCAAAAGGGAAGCGUUUGACACCAGUGUUGUUUUUCUGAAAAUCAAUUAAAGAACUGUUUAUGCUAAGUUGUUUAGACUUUAUCAGCUAACUGUUUAGUUUUGAGCUUUUCUUUAAUGCACUUUUCAGUUAACAAGUCAACAUCAAUUUCUUUUGCUGUAAAAAAGCUUGAGGAAGGUGGCUUGAGAUUCGUCUUAAGUGUUUAUAGCCUCUUGCCUAUGCAGUCGGAGAGAUUGAGGUCUGCAGCGUAGAUCCUUCGGGGCUAAAUGCAUUUGUGCUAAGUUAUAACAUUUUAUAGACAACUUGUUGACUAUGAUUUGUCUUGUAGCUUACUCGCUUAUGUUAUUUUACCUACGCUUAGGAUGUUGACUGAUAUGUAGUCGU